Molecule: transfer RNA, 72 nt
Filed under: Ictidomys tridecemlineatus (thirteen-lined ground squirrel)
Lineage: Eukaryota; Metazoa; Chordata; Mammalia; Rodentia; Sciuridae
Also listed under: 1 other name
Description: Spermophilus tridecemlineatus (thirteen-lined ground squirrel) tRNA
Rfam family: tRNA
About the family: Transfer RNA (tRNA) molecules are approximately 80 nucleotides in length. Their secondary structure includes four short double-helical elements and three loops (D, anti-codon, and T loops).
Source: Rfam by way of RNAcentral
GGAUGUGUAGAUCGGUGGUAGAUUGCUUGCUUCACAUGCAUAAGGUUCUGGGUUCAACUCCCAGUACUGCAA